CCACCAUGCCUGGCCCAUAAUUUUUAAUCUUGUAGCUAAUUUGUUAGUCUCAUAAAGGUGGUCUGGUCCCCAAGCAAGAAGGAGGUUUGUUUCAGGGACGGGCUGUUAUAUUUGGUUUAAAGUGAAAUUAUAAACUAAAUUUCUCCACAAAUUUGUUUGGCCUAUGCCUGGGAAUAAACAAGGGCAGAUUGGAGGUUAGAAGAUGGAGUUGGAUCAGGUCAGGUUUUUUUUCACUGUCGUAAUUUUCCUAUGUCAUAUUUUUCUUAUUGUCAUAAUUUUUGCAAAGACAACACCCAUCAUUACUUACUUGCUGACUUGUUUAUUGGUGAAUUCUUUUUUCCACUACUGAAAUGAAGCUCCAUGAGAACAAAUAAGUUGGUCUGUCCUGCUCCCUGCUGCGUGCCCGGCACUCUGUCUGGAACAUGGUAGGUGCCUGUAGCAUACACUGGCAGUGCUAAUGUCCCUUGCCUGCCUCUGCCGUCAGCUCUCUGGUUGUUGUGGAAAGUUCCCCUAAAUGCUGCCACCUCAAGCAUCUUGUUGCUGUCCUCUUUAAGGCUUAUCUUACGACUUUCUCCGGAAGCCUUGGGAGCAGGCACAGCCUGGAAUUCAGGGAAAUUUAACAUCCCCGGGGUAACUGCAGGGCAGUUUGGCUGGCCUUGGACAGACCCAGUCCCUCUUUUUCCAUGUAGUUCUCAGGAAUAGCUGUAGAAUGUGCUGGGAUUGCAACAUCGUGCGAUAAGGGAGAGCUGGCCGAACAGCCCAAGGUCAGUUCCAGUCUCCUGCUGAAAAUAGGAUGUCCUUCAACACAGCCCAGCAAAUCACAUUACCCUGGGAUGUUAAACCCAGGGCAGGCUGCUCUCUGGCAUCCCUCAUCUGUGGUGAAAGUGGGGCUUGCUCAGUUGAGACUCCAUUUGCCCUGAGCAGAUUUCCUGAGCCUUGGGCGACCAGCUUGCAAUGAAUGCUCCUCUUGUCCCUUGCUGCCUGUCUCUUCCCGAUGGAUGAUCCAACAGACGUCACCUUGCACUGUAGUGACAGUCUUGUUGGGACCACAUGAAGUGCAGCCGUAACACAGGAUUCAAGGAGAUUCAAAACCCAUGUCACUGCUGCCAUCUUCCUAGAAUCCUCUUAAAUCCUCAUGGAUUUGCUGACAUUGGGAGCAUCCUGAAAGCAUCCCCAUGCUAAGGUGGCUGCAGUAACAGGUACAAUGAGAAAUGAUGGUGAGUCCCAUAAGCGCCCUCAAUUCGACUUCCUCCCAGUACAACCUGACAGCAAAGAUGUGCAGGAGGGAAGUUAGAAUGGUCUCAAAUAACUGUGGUUAUAGUUUACUCUUGCAAAUUUCACAAAAACAUGUAACCACAUGAACACAUCCCAAGACCUUGGAAAGGGCAGCUGUCCACCAUUUUGAUAAAGAUUAAGUAGAUCAGGGUACAUCCAUAAGAUGUAAUGGUAUGCAGCCAUGGAAAAUAAUCUUUCUGAAUUUAAAAAUAAUCUUUUCAUAAUAAUGAAUGUGCAUUAUAGAAAAUUAGAAAAUAUAGGCAAUAAAGCGUAAAGAAAAUAAGAAAAUAACACCCAGAGGUUAUCACUAACACCUUAGCAUAUAUCCUUCCACAUUUUGACAUACUUUCACGAUGUUGCAUGCAAAGUGAAAAAAAAAAUCAGUACAAGUCGCAUCUACCAUGUGAUAUUGGGUUGUAAAAUUAUGUAUGUUUUGAAAAGUAUUAAAAUACAAUAGACCAAAAAUGUUAACAGGGCUUAUUUGUGGAUCAUAGGCUUAGUGGUGAUUGUUAUUUUCUUAUUUCCUAUAUUUUCCACAACAGGAAUGCAGACUUUUAUGAUCAUUAAAAAUGAAUUAUUUGAAAAAGUAAUUAUGGUGAUUUCAGAAGUGAGGUUUGGUUGUCAGUGUGUGUGAAAUCGGAUGAGCAGCUUAUUUUGUGUCUGCUGAUUAUGUGUCUGUAUUAUGUUGUUUCAGGUUCUCCCCCCUCCAAAAAAAAUCAAAUCAGAUUGUGAAUUUAUUCCCUGACAUUAACACGUGGCAUUACAGGAGCAUGCACAUCACAUGGUCAAUUUAUUGGCAUGAGGAUUAUAUCAUCGGGGAAUAAAUGGGAAAUUCUCAAGAUCCAGUGAGGUAACUGCUAUUUCACAAGUUCAGAUGCUGUAUCCCUUGCUGACCAUUUCUUGCUUUUAUCUAUUUGGGCGUCAACUUGGUCCUCUGGUCUCUCCCUGUAGAUGCCUCCCUUUUUUGAAGCCAUUAUCCACAUGGCCUGAAAAACACAGUAAGUAACAUGACACGGUUAGCUACCUGAGCCAUUGUUACAGAGACCCACAUAUAGAGUUUUCUAACGACUUUCUUCUUCUCAGGUCUGUGUUUUCAGUUUUUCUAAAAUGGAGGGUUUAGGUAUCUCUAAUGACUUGUACUCCAUUUCAUGAUGUUUAUCAGGCAUCUGUUAUGUGCCAGACACUGUGCACUUACACUGACAACAUUAUUAUUAUUUUUUUAAAAGCACAUUUACCAUCUCUAUUUCACGGAGAGGGAAACUGAAGCUCAGAAAGGCUGAGUGGUUUGCUCAUGGAACAAACAGCGUGCAAGCAGCAUAUGCCCACAAUCGCCAGGGUCUCAGCCACUCCACUGGCAUGCAUGGAGGCUCUUCCUGUUUCCAUGCACCUGGCUGGAGGCCUCUCAGGGUACAAAGGACCUCAAAGGAAGGUGCCUGGCUCAGCGGGGAUGUGGGGGCUUCCUGGAGGAGGGGACUCUUGGCCAAGGCUGCAACCAUGCACAGGAGUCGGGAAGGAAGGAAAGAGG
Non-coding RNA from Macaca mulatta (Rhesus monkey), 2800 nucleotides. The record is from RefSeq and is a predicted model, not a curated record. Lineage: Eukaryota; Metazoa; Chordata; Mammalia; Primates; Cercopithecidae.